This 916-nucleotide long non-coding RNA is filed under the name Panax ginseng (ginseng). RNAcentral describes it as "long non-coding RNA (PGIN_LNC018528)". The record is from RNAcentral. Lineage: Eukaryota; Viridiplantae; Streptophyta; Magnoliopsida; Apiales; Araliaceae.
CUAUUCAUUAUCACAGAAAUUAUGGGAUUUCCUUGUUCAUUGCUUGUAAAGUUUAUCUUUUACUUCUAUUUCAUGUAGAAAAUUGCGGUUGGUUAAUCUAUGUGGACUGAUGUGCAUUUCUGUGUGUUUGCAUUUUUGUUUUUAAUGAUUCAAAAAGAUAGAUGACUUGGCUAUUUGGAUUGAGAAAACUGGCGGGAUUAAAAAAAUAGGAUACUUGGUUUUUCAGGAUAUCGCGCACGAGACGUACUCGGUACUCCUCCUAUAUAGUGCCGCCGAGUAUAAGUUAUUCUUCACCGCAACAAUUUACCGAUCCUAAGGAAUUGGAGAAUAUGAUUGACAAGAUUGUCCUUCAUCAAUUGGGUAUAAAGUAUAUGGAUGAUGCUUCUACUAAUGAUAGUACACCACAACCGUCCAUUGGUAUAGAUAUUACUGAAUAUAUAACUAAAUUGGUAGAAAAGAAGUUUACCAACUUCCUUUAAACAUUUACCGACUAUGAUUCACUAGAUGUAUUUACUAAUAAUUAUAUUUUUGUUUUUGUCCUUCAUUAAUAUCUCUCUAUCUAUUAAUUUAAGUUCACCAGGUUUAUUUUUUCUUAUUCCUCAUCUUGUUGAAAUUGAAUUUUGGUGUUUCUUUUGCAGGAGGAACUUUACAGGCCCAACCUUGAUUUCCUUGAAGAAAAUGAUGAUGAAGUGGACUUAACAUGAUGUACACUUCAUUCCUUCUAGCUCGUUAGUUUUUCAGUUUUCUUAUGUUAAUUAUUAAAUAUUGUAAGUACUAUGAUCUUUGGGAGAUCAAGAUACAAUAACAAAUUCUGUACUUAUCGUGACUUGAGCUGUUGAGCAUUUUCAAUUUAUAUAUGGAGUAUUAGUUUUAAUUUUUGGCUCUUUAUGCAGUUUAUCAAUUAGUUUGAAACAAG